Chiloscyllium plagiosum (whitespotted bambooshark) is the source of this 538-nucleotide non-coding RNA. Lineage: Eukaryota; Metazoa; Chordata; Chondrichthyes; Orectolobiformes; Hemiscylliidae. The record is from the annotation of a RefSeq genome assembly.
UUGAGUUAAGUUGAGUCGCUGGUAUCAGAUGACAAGAAACAAUAUAAUAUAAAAAAACGCACUGUUUGCGAUCAAAUCAGAUACCAUGAAUUUAUUGUGCUGUCUCCUCAUAAUAGUAAUCUUGCUGUCUGAAACAAGCGGCCAAAAUUCUGUUUCCCAACAUCCGGUUAAAUUGAAAAUUCAGGAAGAUCAAACCGCAACAUUGAACUGUAGUUAUACAACAAAGUAUGCUGGAGAAACUAUUUUCUGGUACAUCCAGUAUCCUGGAAAAUCUCCAAAAUAUAUGCUGAAGAGAUACGGAAAGGAACAAGGGAUGAAGUCUUCAGACUUUUCCGACCGUUUUACUGCAAACUUGGAUAAAGAGAACAAAGUAGUUCCAUUAAAUAUCACAGGGAUACGCCUCUCUGACUCUGCCACCUAUUUCUGUGUGCUGAGCUCCACAGUGAUACGGAGGCACAUUGAGCACAUACAAAAACGAGGCACCCACACUCACCUCCAUUUUCUUGAUCUGAUCCGUGAGCUGAAUCGUGAACCAUAA